GACGAACGCUGGCGGCGUGCUUAACACAUGCAAGUCGAACGGAAAGACCUGUCCUUCCUUGUGUUGGACGGGUACUCGAGUGGCGAACGGGUGAGUAACACGUGAGUGAUCUGCCCCCAACUUGGGUAUAAGCCUGGGAAACUGGGUCUAAUUCCCGAUAGGACUGCAGGGUGGUGCCUGUGGUGGAAAACGAUUUUCUAGUGGUUGGGGAUGAGCUCGCGGCCUAUCAGCUUGUUGGUGGGGUAAUGGCCUACCAAGGCGGCGACGGGUAGCCGGCCUGGGAGGGUGGACGGCCACAUUGGGACUGAGAUACGGCCCAGACUCCUACGGGAGGCAGCAGUGGGGAAUAUUGCACAAUGGGCGGAAGCCUGAUGCAGCGACGCCGCGUGGGGGAUGACGGCCUUCGGGUUGUAAACUCCUUUCGACCGCGAGGAAGCCGCCUGGUUGGAAGGGUGGUGACGGUAGUGGUAGAAGAAGCACCGGCUAACUACGUG
This 494-nucleotide ribosomal RNA is filed under the name uncultured bacterium. RNAcentral's name for it is "partial 16S ribosomal RNA". It matches the Rfam family "Bacterial small subunit ribosomal RNA", at positions 28 to 507 of the family's 1533-position model. The record is from RNAcentral.